UUGUGUCAGAAUUGAGAAAUUCUAUGGCUCGAAUCUUUAGUAUUCUCUUAUUUAUUACCUGCGUCUACUCUUUAGGCAGAAUACCGUCACCCAUUUUUACUAAGAAACUGAAAGAAACGGAAGAAACGGAAGAAAGGGAGGAAAGUGAGGAAGAAACAGAUGUAGAAAUAGAAACAACUUUCGAAACAAAGGGGACUAAACAGGGAUCUACGUCUUGGGUAGAGCUGGCUGGACGGACGGGUUAUCUAUUCACGAAAAUAACUUAAUUAAUAAGAUAUUCAUAAUUUUUUAUAGGCCGAAACUCAUAGAUUAGACUGUCUAAGAGAUUUUGACUCAAAAUUCUAAUGAAAAUUUGAUAGAACUUUCCCUAAAAUAUGGACGUUUACCUCCCGUACAACGGGUCCAAAAUCUGCGAGAAACACUUCAAAUAUUCCAUAAUUAUUUAACGGGAGUUGGGCCACCCAAACUGCAUUAUUUUAUGACUCUGUAAUACAACUCAAAUCAUAAUACAAAAUCAACAGUUCGGCAAAAAUAAUAAUAUUAUUCCCGAUACAAUCACAUAAUUAUUUCCUCACAUUUAAUUUAAUUAAUCACAACCUCAAUUUACAUAACAUAAUAUUAACUCCUUUUAUAAUUAAUCUACAGUAAUUCUAGAAUCAUGCUACUAAUGAAUUAAAUAUUUUAAUUAAUUAAUUAUAACUAAUAAUUAAUAAACCAAAUAUUUUCUAAUAAUUCUAAAUUAAUUUUCAAAGUCUAAAUAAAAUUAUACCGAGCAGAAAUCCGAACUUCUGUGCGUCCAAAAAACACCAGAGUCUGAAAGCCGGUACCUCCAACGGUGUCAGAUUUCGAAUCGAGAGACGCCUACGCAAGCCCGAGUUAUGGGGAGUCUAAAUAUGCAAAUUUCUUCGCCUGAAACUCGCCGGAAGUCACUGGAUCGAGGCUGAAAAAUUUCACUCCAGUGAGGCUCACCCACUACUGUUGGCGAAGGAAAAGCAAUAGGGAAGCAAUAGGGAAGGGUUGCCUUGGGUUUUUUAGGGUCCAAGAAUCUGUUUCCAGCAUCAGAUUGGUGAAGAGACGUCGACAAGAGGCUAUUUCGGCAGGAACAAUGGAUGAGUCGACUUUUCCUCCUUGCUGCGGUGGGGAACGACAAAAAGGAGGGAGAGAGUGACGUCACCAACGAGAAAUGGAAGAGGGGAGGAAAGUUAGGUGGCUGGCAACGAUGUGGUAUGGUCGGAAAUGGGAGGGAGUGAGGAAAACGGAAGAAGAGGGUGGCAGGGAGAGAAAAGAAGGAGGAGAGAACAAUUUUUGUGUUAUGUUAUUAUUUUAUUAUUUUUUUAAAAUAAAAGAUGAAAAAAAUGCAAAUGAGGCCUUCUUCAAAAAGUUGCUACAAUG
Molecule: long non-coding RNA, 1392 nt
Filed under: Ricinus communis (castor bean)
Lineage: Eukaryota; Viridiplantae; Streptophyta; Magnoliopsida; Malpighiales; Euphorbiaceae
Description: long non-coding RNA (RCOM_LNC000170)
Source: RNAcentral